Molecule: ribosomal RNA, 492 nt
Filed under: uncultured bacterium
Lineage: Bacteria
Description: partial 16S ribosomal RNA
Rfam family: Bacterial small subunit ribosomal RNA
Source: RNAcentral
AGUGAACGCUGGCGGUAGGCCUAACACAUGCAAGUCGAACGGCAGCACAGUAAGAGCUUGCUCUUACGGGUGGCGAGUGGCGGACGGGUGAGGAAUACAUCGGAAUCUACUUUUUCGUGGGGGAUAACGUAGGGAAACUUACGCUAAUACCGCAUACGACCUACGGGUGAAAGCAGGGGAUCUUCUGACCUUGCGCGAUUGAAUGAGCCGAUGUCGGAUUAGCUAGUUGGCGGGGUAAAGGCCCACCAAGGCGACGAUCCGUAGCUGGUCUGAGAGGAUGAUCAGCCACACUGGAACUGAGACACGGUCCAGACUCCUACGGGAGGCAGCAGUGGGGAAUAUUGGACAAGGGGCGAAAGCCUGAUCCAGCCAUACCGCGUGGGUGAAGAAGGCCUUCGGGUUGUAAAGCCCUUUUGUUGGGAAAGAAAAGCAGCAGGUUAAUACCCCGCUGUUCUGACGGUACCCAAAGAAUAAGCACCGGCUAACUUCGUG